Molecule: non-coding RNA, 1249 nt
Organism: Callithrix jacchus (white-tufted-ear marmoset)
Lineage: Eukaryota; Metazoa; Chordata; Mammalia; Primates; Cebidae
Source: the annotation of a RefSeq genome assembly
CAAGAUGAACAUCUACAUUUUCUAUAGUGGGACCAGAAUCUCUUUUCAUAUUUAUGGCCCACACAUUUGCAUAUGGCCGGACAGAGGACUUUGUUUCUACCAGCACAUCUGUCUUGAAAUAAGAGAGGAAACAGACACAACCCUGAUGCAGCAAAGAAGCAGCUCUUUCUCAAGUGACCUCCUCUAUCUCGCUCCUUCCUGGCUAACGGGGUACCCUGGAUUCUCGGAGAUCCUGGACAGAUAUCCACUCCUGACAAGUUCUGGAAAGAAUGACAUUCAAUCAGGUUCUAAGCACCACUGGAUGUGAACCACUGAAUUUCCUCCGCUCCUUGUCAGAUAUCAACUUACUUCUGACCAAAAAAAUAUAUUAAAAUGACAGAGUUACAAUCUUAAGGAGGAGUCAAGCUAAAGCAAAAAGAACCACCUGCUCUGGACUCCAGCAUGACUGCUGAGCUCAAAUACAUAUAUAAAGAGAAAGAACCACAAACUUGAAGAUGGAUAUCAGCUACAGAACUCCCAAGUCAGAUCUCACAGAAGAAAAUAAACAUAUGGUAUGUCAGAGAAGCCCCAGGGCUUCCACACCUGCCAGAAAAGGGAGUUGCACCUCAGCAGCUAACCCAGGGCUCCGUUCCCCUUCGGUGAGAAGGGUUUUUGUGCAGCAAGACUGUGGAGAGCUCUCACUGUGGUGGACGUUCGGUAAAGGGACCAAGGUGGAAAUCAAACGAGCUGUGGCUGCGCCGUCUGUCUUCAUCUUCCCGCCAUCUGAGGAUCAGGUGAAAUCUGGAACUGCCACUGUUGUGUGCCUACUGAAUGGCUUCUAUCCCAGAGAUGCCAAGGUAAAGUGGAAGGUGGAUGAUGUCGUCCAGUCGGAUAACAGUAUCCAGGACAGUAUCACAGAGCAGGACAGCAAGGACAACACCUACAGCCUCAGCAGCACCUUGACGCUGAGCAGCACGGAAUACCAGAGGCACAACGUCUACGCCUGUGAGGUCACCCAUCAAAGCUUGACCUCGCCCCUCACGAAGAGCUUCCGUAAAGGAGAGUGUUAGAGGGAGAAGUGCUCCAGGCCCACCACCUGCUCCUCAGUCCCAGCCUCUCCCCGUCCCAUCCUUUGGCCUCUGGCCCUUUUCCCACAAGGGACCUACCCCUAUUGCUGUCUUCCAGCUCAUCUUUCACCUCAUUCCUCUCCUCCUUCUUGGCUUUAAUUAUCCUAAUAUUGGAGAAUGAAUAAAUAAAGUGAAUCUUUGCA